Molecule: long non-coding RNA, 449 nt
Organism: Gossypium arboreum
Lineage: Eukaryota; Viridiplantae; Streptophyta; Magnoliopsida; Malvales; Malvaceae
Exons: 3
Source: RefSeq, a predicted model, not a curated record
AAACUGGGUCUUUGUUUGUGUUUGGGGAUAAAGUGGUAGCUAAUCUUGGAUUUGGGGAGGCCAAGAAUGCAACCAUGCCAUCCAUGAUCAAUACAUUGCCAUAUUCAGGAGAAGUUGCAUGUGGUGGCUACCACACUUGUGUUGUAACAAUCAGGUGACCGAGAUUCCGUUUAACAAUUUUCUUUAUUACUGGAACAAGUCUUAACUAAGAUCAAGAUCAAAGUACUUCACUAAGUUAUAUAUGCAGGCGUUGCAAUGAGAGGUGAUGAUGAUUUGGCAUUAUAUUCUCAUCAGGAUGAAUUUUAUUUUAGAAAUUGUAAUACUUUGUGUGUCUCUGUGUGUGUGUGUUUUUUUAUGUAUUAAAUUACAUAUUGAAUCAAUGUUUAUGUAUUAAAUUUAAAUUCAUUAAUUUUUAUAUUUAGUUUUGAAGUUUAAAUUUUAAUGGAAAA